GGGGCUGACCGGAAUUGACAGGAAAGUAUGUUCGGUUUGUAAGCAUGCAGGAGUAUGAUAGUUUCCUCCUUUAACAAAUGGCUAUUAAACCAUAAUUGGCGAUUCUAACUUCGCAAUUGCAGCUUAAUCUAGUAGAUUAACAAGCAUUCAUGCAAUUCACUUGAUAUCUGAUACAAAGUGAUGUCGCAUGUCAACAAACAUUCAGGUAAGGAAGAUAAUAGGUCUCGAUGAUCUUCCGAGAUUCAGAGAAUAAGGUUGAUAUUUGGUGUGUUUUUCCACUUGUUUCAACUCGAAAAUCUAAUGAAAAAAUAAGCAUGUAGAAAGCUCUCAGGCGCUAUCUCUGGACGAGGGUUCGAAUCCCUCCAGCUCCACCU
Molecule: transfer-messenger RNA, 374 nt
Filed under: Saprospiraceae
Lineage: Bacteria; Pseudomonadati; Bacteroidota; Saprospiria; Saprospirales
Also listed under: 2 other names
Description: OLB8 sp016711705 Standard tmRNA
Rfam family: transfer-messenger RNA
About the family: Bacterial tmRNA, also known as 10Sa RNA or SsrA, is named for its dual tRNA and mRNA-like properties. Its role is to liberate the mRNA from a stalled ribosome.
Source: RNAcentral